RNAcentral lists this ribosomal RNA (422 nucleotides) under uncultured bacterium. RNAcentral's name for it is "bacterial SSU rRNA". It matches the Rfam family "Bacterial small subunit ribosomal RNA", at positions 355 to 774 of the family's 1533-position model. The record is from RNAcentral.
UGAGGAAUAUUGGGCAAUGCCCGAAAGGGUGACCCAGCAACGCCGCGUGGAGGAUGAAGGUCGUAAGAUUGUAAACUCCUGUUAGAGGGGAAGAAUAACUAAGUUUGGAGCUUAGUAUGACUGUACCCUCAGAGAAAGCCCCGGCUAACUACGUGCCAGCAGCCGCGGUAAUACGUAGGGGGCAAGCGUUGUCCGGAUUUACUGGGUGUAAAGGGCGCGCAGGCGGAAUGGAAAGUCAGUGGUGAAAUCCUACAGCUUAACUGUAGAACUGCCUUUGAUACUUUCAUUCUUGAGUUCGGGAGAGAGAGACGGAAUUCCAGGUGUAGUGGUGAAAUACGUAGGUAUCUGGAAGAACACCAGUUGCGAAGGCGGUCUCUUGGUCCGAUACUGACGCUGAGGCGCGAAAGCGUGGGGAGCAAACA